This 435-nucleotide ribosomal RNA is filed under the name Stutzerimonas stutzeri. RNAcentral's name for it is "bacterial SSU rRNA". It matches the Rfam family "Bacterial small subunit ribosomal RNA", at positions 336 to 763 of the family's 1533-position model. The record is from RNAcentral. Lineage: Bacteria; Pseudomonadati; Pseudomonadota; Gammaproteobacteria; Pseudomonadales; Pseudomonadaceae.
CUCCUACGGGAGGCAGCAGUGGGGAAUAUUGGACAAUGGGCGAAAGCCUGAUCCAGCCAUGCCGCGUGUGUGAAGAAGGUCUUCGGAUUGUAAAGCACUUUAAGUUGGGAGGAAGGGCAGUAAGUUAAUACCUUGCUGUUUUGACGUUACCGACAGAAUAAGCACCGGCUAACUUCGUGCCAGCAGCCGCGGUAAUACGAAGGGUGCAAGCGUUAAUCGGAAUUACUGGGCGUAAAGCGCGCGUAGGUGGUUCGUUAAGUUGGAUGUGAAAGCCCCGGGCUCAACCUGGGAACUGCAUCCAAAACUGGCGAGCUAGAGUAUGGCAGAGGGUGGUGGAAUUUCCUGUGUAGCGGUGAAAUGCGUAGAUAUAGGAAGGAACACCAGUGGCGAAGGCGACCACCUGGGCUAAUACUGACACUGAGGUGCGAAAGCGUG